GACGAACGCUGGCGGCGUGCUUAACACAUGCAAGUCGAACGGAAAGGCCCUGCUUUCGGGGUACUCGCGUGGCGAACGGGUGAGUAACACGUGGGUGAUCUGCCCUGCACUUCGGGAUAAGCCUGGGAAACUGGGUCUAAUACCGGAUAGGAGCCAUUUUUAGUGUUGUGGUUGGAAAGUUUUUUCGGUGUAGGGUGAGCUCGCGGCCUAUCAGCUUGUUUGUGGGGUAAUUGCCUACCAAGGCGGCGACGGGUAGCCGGCCGGCGAGGGUGGACGGCCACAAUGGGACUGAGAAAAGGGCCAGAACCCCAACGGAGGCAGCAGUGGGGAAUAUUGCACCAUGGGCGCAAGCCUGAUGCAGCGACGCCGGGGGGGGGAUGACGGCCUUCGGGUUGGAAAAUCCCUUCGCUAGGGACGAAGCUUUUUGUGACGGUACCUAGAUAAGAAGCACCGGCUAACUACGUG
Molecule: ribosomal RNA, 465 nt
Filed under: uncultured bacterium
Lineage: Bacteria
Description: partial 16S ribosomal RNA
Rfam family: Bacterial small subunit ribosomal RNA
Source: RNAcentral